UACGGGGGGGGGCAAGCGUUGUUCGGAAUUACUGGGCGGUAAAGCGUGCGCAGGCGGUUUUGUAAGUCUGUCGUGAAAUCCCCCGGGCUCAACCUGGGAAUUGCGAUGGAGACUGCAAGGCUAGAAUCUGGCAGAGGGGGGUAGAAUUCCACGUGUAGCAGUGAAAUGCGUAGAGAUGUGGAGGAACACCGAUGGCGAAGGCAGCCCCCUGGGUCAAGAUUGACGCUCAUGCACGAAAGCGUGGGGAGCAAACAGGAUUAGAGUACCUU
RNAcentral lists this ribosomal RNA (269 nucleotides) under uncultured bacterium. RNAcentral describes it as "partial 16S ribosomal RNA". It matches the Rfam family "Bacterial small subunit ribosomal RNA", at positions 524 to 789 of the family's 1533-position model. The record is from RNAcentral.